GUCAGCCCAGGGUCAAGUUUGGAAGUGGUCAUCCAAGGUAAGUGCGGACAAAGUCCGCCGCCACUUCUCCAAAAAGGGCUUGACCUUAGGGUGGAGGA
RNAcentral lists this non-coding RNA (98 nucleotides) under unclassified sequences. RNAcentral describes it as "DUF1874 RNA". It matches the Rfam family "DUF1874 RNA". Rfam says of the family: Hot springs metagenome only. Environment (Bison Hot Springs, Yellowstone) The record is from RNAcentral.